RNAcentral lists this ribosomal RNA (497 nucleotides) under uncultured bacterium. RNAcentral's name for it is "partial 16S ribosomal RNA". It matches the Rfam family "Bacterial small subunit ribosomal RNA", at positions 28 to 507 of the family's 1533-position model. The record is from RNAcentral.
GAUGAACGCUGGCGGCGUGCCUAAUACAUGCAAGUCGAGCGAACAGAUGAGGAGCUUGCUCCUCUGACGUUAGCGGCGGACGGGUGAGUAACACGUGGAUAACCUACCUAUAAGACUGGGAUAACUUCGGGAAACCGGAGCUAAUACCGGAUAAUAUAUUGAACCGCAUGGUUCAAUAGUGAAAGACGGUUUUGCUGUCACUUAUAGAUGGAUCCGCGCCGCAUUAGCUAGUUGGUAAGGUAACGGCUUACCAAGGCAACGAUGCGUAGCCGACAUGAGAGGGUGAUCGGCCACACUGGAACUGAGACACGGUCCAGACUCCUACGGGAGGCAGCAGUAGGGAAUCUUCCGCAAUGGGCGAAAGCCUGACGGAGCAACGCCGCGUGAGUGAUGAAGGUCUUCGGAUCGUAAAACUCUGUUAUUAGGGAAGAACAAAUGUGUAAGUAACUAUGCACGUCUUGACGGUACCUAAUCAGAAAGCCACGGCUAACUACGUG